UUUGGGCACCCCUGAUUUACAUCUACGGAUUCACCCUAUUAAAAAGUUUUUUACGGAAUUAACAUAAGACUUUCAGACCAUAUUGCGAAAUUAGGUCAAUAUCGAAGACAUUUCUAAUAAAUUGAAUUACCCUAAUUAAAACCAGUAAAAUAAUUCCCUUCUGCAGUAACUCCGACAAAUUCCAGCAUAUACCUUGAAAAGUUUAUACCCUUGCCACUUGUCAAGUUGUACCUGGCAACACGACAAACAUUUCAAAGAGCCACAAUGAAGUGAAAUAAAACAGUCUAUCUCGCUCACAUCUUUGAGAAAAGACAUCUAAACAAGCGAGAUGCAUUUUUUUAGCCUGGGGAUACGCCCAAGUGAAGUAUUUGCGGUGAAAUCGUUUGGUAAAAAUGUGUCGGACCAUCAAAGUGCUGUAAAGAUGUUUAUCCGCUUCCUGCAGCAGGGCAAGCUGGUCAACGUAGACAG
Long non-coding RNA from Culex quinquefasciatus (southern house mosquito), 468 nucleotides. RefSeq lists it as uncharacterized. The transcript is spliced from 2 exons. Lineage: Eukaryota; Metazoa; Arthropoda; Insecta; Diptera; Culicidae. The record is from RefSeq and is a predicted model, not a curated record.